Molecule: ribosomal RNA, 2429 nt
Filed under: Escherichia coli
Lineage: Bacteria; Pseudomonadati; Pseudomonadota; Gammaproteobacteria; Enterobacterales; Enterobacteriaceae
Description: bacterial LSU rRNA
Rfam family: Bacterial large subunit ribosomal RNA
Source: RNAcentral
UGUGAGCUCGAUGAGUAGGGCGGGACACGUGGUAUCCUGUCUGAAUAUGGGGGGACCAUCCUCCAAGGCUAAAUACUCCUGACUGACCGAUAGUGAACCAGUACCGUGAGGGAAAGGCGAAAAGAACCCCGGCGAGGGGAGUGAAAAAGAACCUGAAACCGUGUACGUACAAGCAGUGGGAGCACGCUUAGGCGUGUGACUGCGUACCUUUUGUAUAAUGGGUCAGCGACUUAUAUUCUGUAGCAAGGUUAACCGAAUAGGGGAGCCGAAGGGAAACCGAGUCUUAACUGGGCGUUAAGUUGCAGGGUAUAGACCCGAAACCCGGUGAUCUAGCCAUGGGCAGGUUGAAGGUUGGGUAACACUAACUGGAGGACCGAACCGACUAAUGUUGAAAAAUUAGCGGAUGACUUGUGGCUGGGGGUGAAAGGCCAAUCAAACCGGGAGAUAGCUGGUUCUCCCCGAAAGCUAUUUAGGUAGCGCCUCGUGAAUUCAUCUCCGGGGGUAGAGCACUGUUUCGGCAAGGGGGUCAUCCCGACUUACCAACCCGAUGCAAACUGCGAAUACCGGAGAAUGUUAUCACGGGAGACACACGGCGGGUGCUAACGUCCGUCGUGAAGAGGGAAACAACCCAGACCGCCAGCUAAGGUCCCAAAGUCAUGGUUAAGUGGGAAACGAUGUGGGAAGGCCCAGACAGCCAGGAUGUUGGCUUAGAAGCAGCCAUCAUUUAAAGAAAGCGUAAUAGCUCACUGGUCGAGUCGGCCUGCGCGGAAGAUGUAACGGGGCUAAACCAUGCACCGAAGCUGCGGCAGCGACGCUUAUGCGUUGUUGGGUAGGGGAGCGUUCUGUAAGCCUGCGAAGGUGUGCUGUGAGGCAUGCUGGAGGUAUCAGAAGUGCGAAUGCUGACAUAAGUAACGAUAAAGCGGGUGAAAAGCCCGCUCGCCGGAAGACCAAGGGUUCCUGUCCAACGUUAAUCGGGGCAGGGUGAGUCGACCCCUAAGGCGAGGCCGAAAGGCGUAGUCGAUGGGAAACAGGUUAAUAUUCCUGUACUUGGUGUUACUGCGAAGGGGGGACGGAGAAGGCUAUGUUGGCCGGGCGACGGUUGUCCCGGUUUAAGCGUGUAGGCUGGUUUUCCAGGCAAAUCCGGAAAAUCAAGGCUGAGGCGUGAUGACGAGGCACUACGGUGCUGAAGCAACAAAUGCCCUGCUUCCAGGAAAAGCCUCUAAGCAUCAGGUAACAUCAAAUCGUACCCCAAACCGACACAGGUGGUCAGGUAGAGAAUACCAAGGCGCUUGAGAGAACUCGGGUGAAGGAACUAGGCAAAAUGGUGCCGUAACUUCGGGAGAAGGCACGCUGAUAUGUAGGUGAAGUCCCUCGCGGAUGGAGCUGAAAUCAGUCGAAGAUACCAGCUGGCUGCAACUGUUUAUUAAAAACACAGCACUGUGCAAACACGAAAGUGGACGUAUACGGUGUGACGCCUGCCCGGUGCCGGAAGGUUAAUUGAUGGGGUCAGCGCAAGCGAAGCUCUUGAUCGAAGCCCCGGUAAACGGCGGCCGUAACUAUAACGGUCCUAAGGUAGCGAAAUUCCUUGUCGGGUAAGUUCCGACCUGCACGAAUGGCGUAAUGAUGGCCAGGCUGUCUCCACCCGAGACUCAGUGAAAUUGAACUCGCUGUGAAGAUGCAGUGUACCCGCGGCAAGACGGAAAGACCCCGUGAACCUUUACUAUAGCUUGACACUGAACAUUGAGCCUUGAUGUGUAGGAUAGGUGGGAGGCUUUGAAGUGUGGACGCCAGUCUGCAUGGAGCCGACCUUGAAAUACCACCCUUUAAUGUUUGAUGUUCUAACGUUGACCCGUGAUCCGGGUUGCGGACAGUGUCUGGUGGGUAGUUUGACUGGGGCGGUCUCCUCCUAAAGAGUAACGGAGGAGCACGAAGGUUGGCUAAUCCUGGUCGGACAUCAGGAGGUUAGUGCAAUGGCAUAAGCCAGCUUGACUGCGAGCGUGACGGCGCGAGCAGGUGCGAAAGCAGGUCAUAGUGAUCCGGUGGUUCUGAAUGGAAGGGCCAUCGCUCAACGGAUAAAAGGUACUCCGGGGAUAACAGGCUGAUACCGCCCAAGAGUUCAUAUCGACGGCGGUGUUUGGCACCUCGAUGUCGGCUCAUCACAUCCUGGGGCUGAAGUAGGUCCCAAGGGUAUGGCUGUUCGCCAUUUAAAGUGGUACGCGAGCUGGGUUUAGAACGUCGUGAGACAGUUCGGUCCCUAUCUGCCGUGGGCGCUGGAGAACUGAGGGGGGCUGCUCCUAGUACGAGAGGACCGGAGUGGACGCAUCACUGGUGUUCGGGUUGUCAUGCCAAUGGCACUGCCCGGUAGCUAAAUGCGGAAGAGAUAAGUGCUGAAAGCAUCUAAGCACGAAACUUGCCCCGAGAUGAGUUCU